UAAUUGUCGAAGGGGAAUUUUCGGGGGGCUCACACCGGGCGGUGGAGCCAUGUGGCUUUAUUUAGAAGCAACGCGAUGAACCUUAUCCUGGGUUUUGACAUGCACGGAUUAGCCCGCCGAAAGGCGGGUGACACCUUCGGGUGGAACGUGCACAGGUGCUGCAUGGCUGUCGUCAGCUCGUGCCGUGAGGUGUUAGGUUAAGUCCUUUAACGAGCGAAACCCCUGUCGCUAGUUGCCAGCGCGUUAUGGCGGGGACUCUAGCGAGACCGCCGGCGUCAAGUCGGAGGAAGGUGGGGAUGACGUCAAGUCCGCAUGGCCUCUAUGCCCAGGGCUGCACACGUGCUACAAUGGUGGGCACAGAGCGACGCAAUACCGCGAGGUGGAGCAAAUCGCGAAAUCCCGCCCCAGUUCAGAUUGCAGGCUGCAAUUCGCCUGCAUGAAGGUGGAAUCGCUAGUAAUCGCGGAUCAGCUACGCCGCGGUGAAUACGUUCCUGAGCCUUGUACACACCGCCCGUCAAGUCAUGGAAGCUGGCAGCGCCCGAGGUCGCCGCAAUUCAGCGGUGCCCACGGCGAGGAUGGGGGGUGGGACUAAGUCGUAACAAGGUA
This 606-nucleotide ribosomal RNA is filed under the name uncultured deep-sea bacterium. RNAcentral's name for it is "bacterial SSU rRNA". It matches the Rfam family "Bacterial small subunit ribosomal RNA", at positions 895 to 1498 of the family's 1533-position model. The record is from RNAcentral.